Molecule: long non-coding RNA, 1297 nt
Organism: Rana temporaria (common frog)
Lineage: Eukaryota; Metazoa; Chordata; Amphibia; Anura; Ranidae
Exons: 2
Source: RefSeq, a predicted model, not a curated record
GGACAGGAGCCGAGCACCGGGGAGGACUGUGUGCGCGGAGGGUGAUCGCUGCCGGUCAGUGUCCUGAUAAGUAUACAUUGUGUGAUCUCUACACAUUCUCCCCUGAUGGAUAUGCAUUGUGACCCGUCCUCUCUACAGCGCGGAGCUUUCCCUGCGCCAAUCACAGACCUCCUUUCAUCCGAGAUCGGCAGGGCCUGCAGAUCUGCCCCUCGCUCUUCCUGAAGUAUGGACUUUCUCUGUUGCCGACAGCUGGGGAUUCCUGGAGAUGGGAUUUUAUUGAUAAGGCUAUAAAUCACAUUGCCAGGGAUUUCCAACUGCAAGCAUCGCUAUCUACAGAGCAGAAUGGCGCCCAACCAUGCCAACCACUUGGCUUCUCACUUUGGACUUUUGGGCCGCUAACUCAGAAUUCUUGGUCUGUUUUUAUUUCCAGGUUGGUGAUCCAAAAAGGUAUUAAAGCCCAUGGGAUCUGCAUGUCACAGGUAACUAGCAUUUUCAGAGACGGGACCGGAGGUCGGCAAUGGUGGUUCUCGCCUUUAAUGGCUAAGCUUUAGAAGUAUCGGUACUGAUGGCCUUUUUUUCAGCCCCUCUAACCAUUCAUGGUUCUACAAAGCCUUGUGGUUCCCUUCCAGAUGAAAGUGCAGCUGCAGAAUGGUGGUCGAGUGUUGGAGGUGUAGGGCUUAGCUGCCUUGUGAACAUUUAAUAUAUAGGCAUGUUCACAGUGGCUAAGUUCCGCGUCUCUGCACGGUUUUCAUGUUGGAUCUGCUGGCAUGUCUGGUGCUGGCUGCUGGUGCCGACUCCCGUGCCUACUGAUCUGAUUUAGUGGUGCCUAAUUAUUCACCUGGCUCAGUUCAGCAGGACAGGAGUUGGGGCCAAGACGCUUCAUCAGAACGACCAUCUUAGUUUCCGCCUGACCACACACACGUGUUCGUUGGGCCCCGUCCACACGUGAGCAUUUUUUCUGCUUGACUCUUGUAGCUCCAAAACACUCAACCCAAAUGCCAUUCUUUUCGAUGGCCCAUGGCACCAUUUUAUAGACAUGGUAACAUCGUCUUUUUGUACUCCCAAACCUUGGAGAAAUAAAUUUGUUGAAAAUGGGUUUAUGGCUGGAUUCACUUUGGUUUUUGGCUUAAUUGAAAUCCAUGAGCAUGCAUUAUAACAUGCUUUGACAUUCGGUACUGCAUUGCAAUGUGUGGCUAAUGCUGAACAAUAAAAUGUUGACUUUUUUUUUUGUUGAACGCAUUUUUUUUAUUAUGUGAUGUAGGUGCACGAAAUUAUUAAAUAAAAGUCUGGAAAAAAA